This 333-nucleotide ribosomal RNA is filed under the name Salmonella enterica. RNAcentral describes it as "bacterial SSU rRNA". It matches the Rfam family "Bacterial small subunit ribosomal RNA", at positions 1 to 330 of the family's 1533-position model. Lineage: Bacteria; Pseudomonadati; Pseudomonadota; Gammaproteobacteria; Enterobacterales; Enterobacteriaceae. The record is from RNAcentral.
AAAUUGAAGAGUUUGAUCAUGGCUCAGAUUGAACGCUGGCGGCAGGCCUAACACAUGCAAGUCGAACGGUAACAGGAAGCAGCUUGCUGUUUCGCUGACGAGUGGCGGACGGGUGAGUAAUGUCUGGGAAACUGCCUGAUGGAGGGGGAUAACUACUGGAAACGGUGGCUAAUACCGCAUAACGUCGCAAGACCAAAGAGGGGGACCUUCGGGCCUCUUGCCAUCAGAUGUGCCCAGAUGGGAUUAGCUUGUUGGUGAGGUAACGGCUCACCAAGGCGACGAUCCCUAGCUGGUCUGAGAGGAUGACCAGCCACACUGGAACUGAGACACGGU